RNAcentral lists this ribosomal RNA (113 nucleotides) under Prevotella sp. The record is from RNAcentral. Lineage: Bacteria; Pseudomonadati; Bacteroidota; Bacteroidia; Bacteroidales; Prevotellaceae.
UCAGGUGGUUAUUGCGGCGGGGUUCCACCUCUUCCCAUUCCGAACAGAGAAGUUAAGCCCGCCUGCGCCGAUGGUACUGCAAUGCAAUGCGGGAGAGUAGGAGGCCGCCCCCU